ACCAAGUAUUUUGGGCCAAACCGAGUUCGGGGCCCGAAAUACAUUUUUGGGGUUUAAUUUGGCAUUAAUAUGAUAAUUUUGAAAUCUGAAAUUAUGUUUUAUAUAUGGGUGUGAUGAAAUGAUUAGUUUGCCCUUGGUUGCAUAGAUAUGUUUAUUAUUGGCUAUAGGGGUAUUUUAGUAAUUUGACACUAUGAUGUAAUAUUCAACAAAAUCAAUUUUUGUGUAAAAUGAAAUGUAAUUUUCUGGUUUUGGAUGCCCUAGCCGACCCUCUCCUUCUCCUUCUCAUCUCUUUUAAAAUUUUCUCAUUUAAUUGGAAGAAAAUUGGUGAGGAAAUUGAGUGGUUUUGCAUAAUUGGAGCUUGAGUAAUUGUGGUAAAAACUCGAAGUGGGAAAUAAGGCAGAUCUUUGGGUUACAGGGCUCCUCGCUGCGGCCAUGGUUGGGCUCGCCGUGGCAAAAGCAACCUGUUGUUGCUCCCCGCGACGAGGCCCUAUUUUCUCCAAGAAAUUUUUUGGGUUUUUAUUUUCAUUAUAACUUUUGACUCGAAACUCCAUUUGGGAUGCUCUUUAUAUCGUUAGAAAGCUCGUUCCGAGAUCUAUAUGCCUAUCUAUCUAUCUAUCUAUCUAUGAAUGAAAUGACAAUUAAGUGAUUAUGUGAAGUUGAUUUUUGGGAUUAACCCUAUUUGUGAAAUCUUAGGAAUUGUGACUAGGAUUACCAGCGCUUGUUCAGGAAUACCCGGGGGUUUAGAAUCUCCACAUACUUGAGAUGUCAGGAAAGGGUAAAGUUGUUUGUGAUCAGCCAUGAGUUCGAGGGCUUGGCGGUGGAUUGUACAUGUUCGGGCCAUACUAGACCAUGCGGGUCGGGUCUACCAGCUACUGCAUUUUGUAUUCUCGGUUUUGUCGCUUAGGACGACAUGUAAAACGACUUGUAAAAUUUUGUAAAAAAUUUUAUGGGAUCCCAAAACGUAAGAAAUCUUUUUGGAAUGAUUUGGAAAUUUUAAAUAAUUACAAGUUUAAUUUUUAUUC
Long non-coding RNA from Cannabis sativa, 1022 nucleotides. RefSeq lists it as uncharacterized. The record is from RefSeq and is a predicted model, not a curated record. NCBI's taxonomy places the organism in Eukaryota, Viridiplantae, Streptophyta, Magnoliopsida, Rosales, Cannabaceae. The transcript has 3 exons.